CCUGUAAUGACUUUGCCACCUGAUUUUCAAAGACAAAAUCAGAUGGGAGAUGACUUCAUCUACAGACUGAAAGUGAAGAAUCCCAGACGGAAAGUGAAGAAUCCCAGACUGAAAGAGAAGAAUACCAAUGUGAUCAGAUUUUCAUUUUUGAUGAAUUCCAAAACUAAUAUUGACAAUUUUUUUUUAAUAAAUUUCUUU
Molecule: long non-coding RNA, 198 nt
Organism: Bombina bombina (fire-bellied toad)
Lineage: Eukaryota; Metazoa; Chordata; Amphibia; Anura; Bombinatoridae
Exons: 3
Source: RefSeq, a predicted model, not a curated record